UUUUAAACUGAAACUAUUCUAGGCAUUUUGAGUUAGAGAAAAUCAUAGCUUAAGACCAGAUUCUUCUGAGGCUUAGGAAGAUAUUUUUGAUUCCAUAUUAUAUGUUAUAAAGAGAAGUACUAGAUAAAUAAAAUGAAAGAUUAGCCUGAAUUUCACAGACCUCAUAAAUCAGAAAUUUGAGCAUUUUAUAUUGAAAUAGCACUUUAAGUCACACAGCAAUGAUGUAUUUCUUUGCCAAGCUUUUUUAAAAAUAAGGAAAAACAGAGAAUUCAUAAAAUUCCCUGAUGGAAAUACAAUUGAAAUAUAAAAGACACUAGAAAGGAACUCACAUAAUAUAUUUAUAUACAUAAAAGUACUUGAUAAUAUAUUGUCAUAGAUGGAGCUUUUACCACCACUGUAAAUGAACUGCCAAAUUCAUC
This 419-nucleotide long non-coding RNA is filed under the name Bos taurus (domestic cattle). RNAcentral's name for it is "long non-coding RNA NONBTAT022046". The record is from RNAcentral. Lineage: Eukaryota; Metazoa; Chordata; Mammalia; Artiodactyla; Bovidae.